Molecule: long non-coding RNA, 466 nt
Organism: Alosa alosa (allis shad)
Lineage: Eukaryota; Metazoa; Chordata; Actinopteri; Clupeiformes; Clupeidae
Exons: 3
Source: RefSeq, a predicted model, not a curated record
AUAACGUUUCAACAACAUGUAAUUCUACACAAAGUGUUUUAUCACAGACUGUAAAAGUGACAGACUUCUGACAGAGGCUUUUUGGAACACCGAAGCCAUGACGUAGCGUUGUCAAGGCAGCAUUUUCACUGGAUCUAAACAAAUCAAUCUAACCAUUGAAAUCACCAUAGCCCAGAGACCUGGCAUAGAUCGUGUAGAAAGUCAAAUUAUUUUUCAAUAUUGGGCUUUGAAAAUAAGGGAUAUAUUUCCUCAGUAAUAGAGCAUUUGGUGACAUUUAUAGAGAAACCGAGGGACGUCCAUCUUUACUCCAGAUGAAUGAAGGGCUGCUGGUUAGAUUGCAGGUGGUGUUGCAGGCGGACCAGAUCUCACUGUCUUCCCUCAUGUUGUAUUUCCUGACCCAUGCAGACAAAUAAACCUGCUUCAUCUACCAUCAUCGUUUCCGAGUGUAUCACCAGUAAAACACAAC